UUUGGUGGCGAUAGCGGAGGGGUUCCACGCGUACCCAUCCCGAACACGACCGUUAAGCCCUCCAGCGCCGAUGGU
Molecule: ribosomal RNA, 75 nt
Filed under: Paenibacillus borealis
Lineage: Bacteria; Bacillati; Bacillota; Bacilli; Caryophanales; Paenibacillaceae
Also listed under: 1 other name
Source: RNAcentral